UUGGUCUCUGUUAUUAACUUAGGGCGGAUAUAAUUCUGAUAAUUUGCAUGCUAAUAGGAUGAGUGACGCCAUGCCUUAGAUCAUGUUUCCGAUUGACUCGUGUGCUAAAGUGUUUUCUUGUUUAAUCUCUACGCAACGUGUCUUUAAAUGAGUUAGCAUUCAUGUUUAGGAUCAAGCGCAAAGAUGGUUCUAAAUACUUGAGGAGUCUUAACAAUUAGAUAACCGCAAAGGCUCUAAUUAGAAUCGGAAUUGGUUAGAGUCUAGGAUAAUUUGAACGUUGCUGCCCGGCCUUGCAUGAAGUUGUUAUGUGUUCUUGAUGGUUUUUCGUGUUAUGUGUUGCAUGAGUAUGUUGAUCAUUUGUAUAUAAUAAUCUUAGCUUUAAUUUUCAGUAGGUUAUUUGUUAGAAUUAAUCAAUCUUAAACCCCCAAUAUUUCAAUAUAUAUAUGUGAAUACUUGUUUAUAAGUUGUUUGGUUUAUCUUCUUUCGAUCGCCCUUUGGUUUCCCCGGUUAGAACGAUCCCUACUUGUCCAUAUUACUACGAUUGCAGGGUAAUUAAAUUGAAGUUGUUUGACCCCGGUUACGCGACACGUCAUGUUGCAACGAACUCGGAUACUCCCUGGGCACUUUCACAAUUCAACAUGCAGAUAGAGAUGUUGAUUGCUUGUGAAAGUUGAAAGUCUGCGUGUUGAAUUGUGAAAGUGCCCAGGAGUAUGUACUACUAAAUGCAUUGGACUUGAAACUGUUGAAGAAGAAACUAUGAAAGAUAGUGUAUCGUAAACCAUGUCAUAUGCUAUAACACGAGUAGUAGAGAAACAAUAAGGACUUUGAGCAUACAUAUAUGCAGACAAGAGAUGAAGAAGUUCAAGUUUAAGUCACAAAGUGUAAUUUCAAAACCAAUUACAGAACUCAAAAUCCAACAAGUAGUCUAGGCCCUAGAUUGCAAAAUCCACAACAUCAUUUUUCGAAACACUUUGGUGUAAACCUAGAACUGGCAAGAUAACUGCGCACUAAGGCAGUAACCAGACUGGUCCAGGCAUAUUGAAAGGUAAGCCUAUUAGUAGGUGAGAGAAAAAAGACCUUAACUUACAUCAACAAUCAAAUCAAGCUCCUUUUCCAAAAUCGAUCCAACAUUUCAAUUAUUUGAGCUCACUCAAAUUAGAUAUCUGACCAUGUAAUCUGCAUUUACCCAUUAACUUAACGAGAUGCAUAUGAGUUUUGUUUAGUUCAUCUCAAAGCUUGAAUCUUUAACAAGUAAAUAGUUAGAGCAAAUCUGAAUCAAACAGAGAAAAUCAAACAAAAACUUAUCUGGGCAGAUUUGGGAGAAAAUCCAUGUGGCCACUUGAAGUUGCGUACUCUCGGAUCUUCUCUCCUUUGGA
Molecule: long non-coding RNA, 1376 nt
Filed under: Fragaria vesca (wild strawberry)
Lineage: Eukaryota; Viridiplantae; Streptophyta; Magnoliopsida; Rosales; Rosaceae
Description: long non-coding RNA (FVES_LNC004589)
Source: RNAcentral